GACGAACGCUGGCGGCGUGCCUAAUACAUGCAAGUUGAGCGAUGAAGAUUGGUGCUUGCACCAAUUUGAAGAGCAGCGAACGGGUGAGUAACGCGUGGGGAAUCUGCCUUUGAGCGGGGGACAACAUUUGGAAACGAAUGCUAAUACCGCAUAACAACUUUAAACAUAAGUUUUAAGUUUGAAAGAUGCAAUUGCAUCACUCAAAGAUGAUCCCGCGUUGUAUUAGCUAGUUGGUGAGGUAAAGGCUCACCAAGGCGAUGAUACAUAGCCGACCUGAGAGGGUGGUCGGGCAAAUUGGGACUGAGACACGGCCCAAGCUCCUACGGGAGGCAGCAGUAGGGAAACUUCGGCAAUGGACGGAAGUCUGACCGGGCAACGCCGCGUGAGUGAAGAAGGUUUUCGGAUCGGAAAACUCUGUUGGUAGGGAAGAACGUUGGUGGGAGUGGAAAGCUCAUCAAGUGACGGUAACUACCCAGAAAGGGACGGCUAACUACGUG
Molecule: ribosomal RNA, 497 nt
Filed under: uncultured bacterium
Lineage: Bacteria
Description: partial 16S ribosomal RNA
Rfam family: Bacterial small subunit ribosomal RNA
Source: RNAcentral